UGCACAAAAAAAAAAAAAAAAAAAAAAAAAAAAAAAAAAAAA
Molecule: non-coding RNA, 42 nt
Filed under: Prorocentrum micans
Lineage: Eukaryota; Dinophyceae; Prorocentrales; Prorocentraceae
Source: RNAcentral